GAAUGCGAUAAGUAGUGUGAAUUGCAGAAUUCAGUGAAUCAUCGAAUCUUUGAACGCACAUUGCGCCCCUUGGUAUUCCAUGGGGCAUGCCUGUUCGAGCGUCAUUUGUACCCUCAAGCUCUGCUUGGUGUUGGGUGUUUGUCCCGUCUCCGCGCGUGGACUCGCCCCAAAGUGAUUGGCAGCCGGCGUACUGGUCCCGGAGCGCAGCACAUGUCGCGCAAACGAGUGCCUUGGUACGGCGGCGUCCAUAAGCCCCUCUCUCACGCUCUUGACCUCGGAUCAGGUAGGGAUACCCGCUGAACUUAAGC
Molecule: unclassified non-coding RNA, 308 nt
Filed under: plant metagenome
Description: partial contains 5.8S ribosomal RNA, internal transcribed spacer 2, and large subunit ribosomal RNA
Rfam family: 5.8S ribosomal RNA (bases 1-104)
Source: RNAcentral